CCUGAGAAACCCAAAAGAUCGAAUGGGGAGACUCAACGACUGCGAUCCUGGCGCUCGUGCGGUUCGCGAUGCUACGGGGCCUCGGCCCCGGGGCACGCGUCCGUAUGUGCUUAUUCGCCGGGUGUCGCCGUCGCGCACUUCUCCCCUAGUAGGACGUCGCGACCCGUUGGGUGUCGGUCUACGGCCCGGGUGGGAGCCUGUCGUUUGUUACGCCUUGGGGCGCAUGCGACAGACCCCCGGUCGCCCGACCAGCUGCCCGGCGGUACUCGCACGGUAUCGYGCCGCAAAUAUUUGAACUGCGUCAGGCCCGUCGCAAGCGAGGCCAGUGUCUUACCCGGAUGCACGGACCUAGCGCCGUCACCGGGCCUGGCCGGCUGUUGGCUGACGGUGUCCUAAGACAGGCUCUUUGAAUUAUGAUACCGGUCGGCGACGCUACUGCUUUGGGUACUUUCAGGA
Molecule: ribosomal RNA, 456 nt
Filed under: Eiphosoma pyralidis
Lineage: Eukaryota; Metazoa; Arthropoda; Insecta; Hymenoptera; Ichneumonidae
Description: partial 28S ribosomal RNA
Source: RNAcentral